Molecule: unclassified non-coding RNA, 390 nt
Filed under: soil metagenome
Description: partial contains 5.8S ribosomal RNA, internal transcribed spacer 2, and large subunit ribosomal RNA
Rfam family: 5.8S ribosomal RNA (bases 1-122)
Source: RNAcentral
GAUGAAGAACGCAGCGAAAUGCGAUACUUGGUGUGAAUUGCAGAAUCCCGUGAACCAUCGAGUCUUUGAACGCAAGUUGCGCCCGAAGCCAUUAGGCCGAGGGCACGCCUGCCUGGGCGUCACACGUCGUUGCCCCCCCAUCUACUCCUUCGGGAUUGCGGGGGGCGGAUGAUGGCCUCCCGUGCGCCUCGUCGCGCGGUUGGCAUAAAUGCCAAGUCCUCGGCGACGCACGCCACGACAAUCGGUGGUUGCGAAACCUCGGUUGCCCGUCGUGUGCGGUCGUCGCGCAUCGAGGGCUCGAAAAAAUUGCCGGGCUCCGGCUCGGCUUUCAACGCGACCCCAGGUCAGGCGGGGUUACCCGCUGAAUUUAAGCAUAUCAUAAGUGGAGGA